CUGGCCUCAUAAAAUGAGUUAGGGAAGAUUCCUUCUUUUUCUAUUGAUUGGAAUAGUUUCAGAAGGAAUGGUACCAGCUCUUCCUUGUACCUCUGGUAGAAUUCGGCUGUGAAUCCAUCUGGUCCUGGAAUUUAUUUGGUUGGCACUUCUAGAUAUCUGUUGAGGCCUGGAAGGGGCAAAACAAUUCAGGAAGCAGUUGAAGAUAAAGGGGUUUACCAUGGAAGAGAAGAUCCAGGUGCCUUCAUGGAAAUGCUUGUGGUUGAAAAGAGAUGAAGAUGAGGGUCCCUGGAAAGAGGAAGAACCAGCCAGGAAAAUUAUACCAUUAGCAAGACUGGCAUCAGCAAGUAGUUCGCAGUGUUGGUUGUUCUUGGUUUCGCAGGAUUUUAUAGGAGAGUUUCUGUCAGGCCUUUGAGCCCAAGCUAAGCCAUCAUACCCCUGUGACCUACACGUUAUACAUCCAGAUGGCCUGAAGCAAUUGAAGAUCCACAAAAUAAGUGAAAAUAGCCUUAACGGAUGACAUUCCACCAUUGUGAUUUGUUUCCACCCCACCCUAACUGAUACAUAUAUUCUCCCCCACCCUUAAGAAGGUACUUCGGAAUGUUCUCUCCCGCUCUUAAGAAUGUGCUUUGUAUGCCUAUCCCAAACCUGUAAGAACUAAUGAUAAUCCCACCACCCUUUGCUGACUCUUUUUUUUGGACUCAGCCCAUCUGCACUCAGGUGAAAUAAACAGCCUUGUUACUCACACAAAGCCUGUUUGGUGGUCUCUUCACAUGGAUGUGCGUGACAUUUGGUGCCGUGACUAGGAUUGGGGGCCCUCCCUUGGGAGAUCAAUCCCCUGUCCUCCUGCUCUUUGCUCCAUGAGAAAGAUCCACCUACGACUUUGGGUCCUUAGACCAACCAGCCCAAGGAACAUCUCACCAAUUUUAAAUCGGGUAAGCAGCCUCUUUU
RNAcentral lists this long non-coding RNA (948 nucleotides) under Homo sapiens (human). RNAcentral describes it as "HSALNT0250518". The record is from RNAcentral. Lineage: Eukaryota; Metazoa; Chordata; Mammalia; Primates; Hominidae.